GACGAACGCUGGCGGCACGCCUAACACAUGCAAGUCGAGCGGGAUCUUGUGGAAUGCGUCUUCGGACAAGUGAAGCAAGUGAGAGCGGCGGACGGGCGAGUAACGCGUGAGUAACCUGCCCUAUACAGGGGGAUAGCCAUUGGAAACGGUGAUUAAUACCCCAUAAGACCACGCCAUCGCAUGAUGAAGUGGUAAAAACUGAGGUGGUAUAGGAUGGACUCGCGUCUGAUUAGCUAGUUGGUGAGGUAACGGCUCACCAAGGCGACGAUCAGUAACCGGCCUGGAAGGGUGAACGGUCACACUGGAACUGAGACACGAUCCAGACUCCUACGGGAGGCAGCAGUGGGGAAUAUUGCACAAUGGGGGAAACCCUGAUGCAGCGAUGCCGCGUGAACGAAGAAGGCUUUCGAGUCGUAAAGUUCUGUUCUUAGGGAAGAAAAUGACGGUACCUAAGGAGAAAGCACCGGCUAAAUACGUGCCAGCCGCCGCCGUAA
Molecule: ribosomal RNA, 494 nt
Filed under: uncultured bacterium
Lineage: Bacteria
Description: partial 16S ribosomal RNA
Rfam family: Bacterial small subunit ribosomal RNA
Source: RNAcentral